UUCUAUUAUUACAUAAAGUUAAUAUAAUUAACUUUAUAUAAUUAAGUUAAUAUUAAAUAUAAAGUUAAUAUAGUGAUAAAAAGAUAUGUCCGUAUUGACAGAUAAUUGGAUAAAAUAUUUUUACUCCCGUAGAUCGAGUUUCACACUAUGAUACGAUACGAAUAUAUAGAUAAUAGAUGAACGAGAUCUUCGCGCUGGCGCAAAACUCCCACCAUGGACGUCUUCGGCACGCGCUAGGUUCGAGGGGCGAUUCAACAUUUCCACGCCAAAUCGAGUUCGGCUUUUUCCCCGACACGAUGUAAUCCGUUCCGACCUCGUGAUACAGUGAAAGAGAUUGAAAUACAAAAAACAUUGUGCAUGUAGUAUUUUUCAAUUUUUGUUGGAGUUAUUAAUUGUUAAACAAAUACAUAUCGAUAGUUGUAAAAAUGCAUAGUUGUAAAACUGUGUGAAAAAAGUGAAGGAUUACUUUAAUUAUUUAAUUUAGUUAGACAGGGUGGCGCGAAAUGAAAUAUCGAAAUAAAUGCGCGGUAGAUCAUUGUAUCAAAUAAUCACUUUUGUGGUAACUAGGGCAACUUCGCAUUCAGGAAAGAGGAGUAAAAAUUGUGUACACAAAAUCUCACGCGUUCAAGUGAAUGAACGAAGAUACACAAGUGACGUACCGCGAAUGUUCAAAGAAACCAACGCAAAUGCAAGAAAGUGCAGCUCUCUUCUAUCGUAUUGCGCAUUUCUACAGAUAGCAACGCGAGAGCAAGCAACCGGAGGGAUCUUCUCGCGAGAAAAACCGUUCGACUCGUUGACGCUUCCGGCAAGAUGUAGAUUGAAAUCCGCCGACAACGUCGAUCAUAACCCGGGAUUUCAAUAACGGAUCUUCUCACGGGUUCUCGAACGUCAAUUCUAUCCGAAGAAGACGCUGCGUUUCGCAAAAUAAAUCAUCGCGCGACAGCUGCUGCGAUGAUCUCAAGGCGAAUUUAAUAGCAAAAAUACAAAUAGAAGAGAUAUUCGCAAAGCGCAGAUAUUUGUUCAUUCGAUUUGAAAUUCGGUCGCGAAGUCGAUUGUUACUCUUUUACUUACCACUCGGAAAACAAUUACAAAAAAAAAGUAGAAUGAUUUCGGGUACGGCAGCAAACAUCACCGGAGUGCUUCAGGAUUCCUGGAGGCUCCCGAAGGACAGCAAUAUACAGGGGUUUCGUUCCACGGUCGACGGCGUCGUUCACGCUGCGAAUCCGCGAUACGAAAAUUACACGAACAUGAUCGUCCCCUUCUUGAAAGACGAAGAAGAUCCCGCGUCGAUCCGCCGGGAUCCCCUGUACAUCGUGCUGCCGAUCACGGUGAUCUACGCCGUGAUCUUCUUCACCGGGGUGAUCGGCAACAUCUCCACAUGCGUGGUAAUCGCGCGCAACAAGUCCAUGCACACCGCCACCAAUUACUACCUCUUCAGCCUCGCGGUGUCCGACCUGCUUCUACUCGUGUUCGGGCUGCCGCCGGAGAUGUAUUACAUAUGGUCGAACUUCCCGUACAUAUUCGGCGAGGCGUUCUGCAUUAUCCAGAGCUUCGCCUCGGAGACCUCGACCAACGCCACCGUUCUGACCAUCACGGCCUUCACCAUAGAGAGAUACGUGGCGAUCUGCCACCCGUUUAUCUCGCACACAAUGUCGAAACUGUCCCGGGCGGUAAAGUUCGUGAUGGCGAUUUGGCUGCUGGCCCUCUGCCUCGCCGUACCACAGGCCAUCCAAUUCGGCAUCAUCUACUCCGACUACAACGGCACCGUCAUCAUGGACAGCGCUAGGUGCUCACGUCGGUGGACCCUAAUCGAGCACGCCUUCGAGAUCUCAACUAUCCUGUUCUUCGUGCUGCCGAUGACAAUUAUCACCGUGCUGUACGUGUUGAUCGCCAUCAAGCUGCGACGCUCGACCCUGCUGACCACCGUCAGUAAGAGGCAUCACGCUCCCGGUGUGUUGAAUCACAUGGACAGCAGCAGAGGAAAGACGAACGCUCAGAGAAACGUUAUUCGCAUGCUCGUCGCGGUGGUGGUAGCCUUUUUUAUUUGCUGGGCGCCAUUUCACGCUCAGAGGUUGCUGGCUGUAUACGGUGAGAACAGUUCCGGGUCGGAAGAUACCAUGGUCAUAGUCUACACCACGCUCACCUACGUAUCGGGAGUGUUCUACUAUUUGUCCGCCACGGUGAAUCCGCUUCUCUACAAUAUCAUGUCUAACAAGUUCAGAGAGGCUUUCAAGUCGAUGCUGCCCAAAUAUUGCAUCAGAAAGUUCUCGUCUCGCAAGGGUAACCGUCGACAGCCGACUUACAGUAGUCUGUCGCGGUAUCACCGAUCGAUGAGGCAUCGAUUCGACGACGUCCAGCACUCACCCUCGAUAUCCGUCAGCGACGAACAGCAACGAUUAACGCAUAUUGCUCUGGCUAACGCAAAUUUCUGCGAGCCGAAUGGACUCGCGAAACUGCAGAACGAACGAGAGGGGCGACCUACGAUCAAAGAAACCAUGGAUUGUCGAAAUUAUACCAGAAGAGUGUCCAGGGACUCUGACUGUAGCCAGCUUACCACGAUGACAUCGUUAAGCAAACAGGGCCUAAACAACGAAGGUAACAACAACGCAAACGAAUGUCUACUGAGGAUUCACAGGUCACCGAAGGCUGUCACUUUAGAAUUGAAUUUAAAUUAAUGGGAAGGUUCUCUUGAAGAUAGACACGCACACACGCACCCAUCCACGCACAUAAGAAGCAAGAAAUUAUGUUUUUAAAAAAUGUAAAUGCGCAAAAAAGAAAGACACUUUUGUUUCGCCUUUUGCUAAGCAGGAAUCUUCACGGAGAGACUGGGUCUCGGCACGAAAGGAUUCUUCGCGCAGCAUCGAAAGAAUUUAUCGAACAACCCGACGAAAGUGGCGAAAUCGAAACCGGACAAUGUUAUU
RNAcentral lists this unclassified non-coding RNA (2921 nucleotides) under Monomorium pharaonis (pharaoh ant). RNAcentral's name for it is "pyrokinin-1 receptor, transcript variant X3". Lineage: Eukaryota; Metazoa; Arthropoda; Insecta; Hymenoptera; Formicidae. The record is from RNAcentral.